This is a long non-coding RNA of Zingiber officinale, 1244 nucleotides long. RefSeq lists it as uncharacterized. The record is from RefSeq and is a predicted model, not a curated record. The transcript is spliced from 3 exons. NCBI's taxonomy places the organism in Eukaryota, Viridiplantae, Streptophyta, Magnoliopsida, Zingiberales, Zingiberaceae.
UUUUUCUCUUUCCUUUGUUCUCACCCGUGCCCUAAACGCCCGAUCCCCCCUCCUUCUCCCCUCUCGCGACCCUUUCUCUCCCUCUCCCUCACGCGGCGACACACCCGAUCAUCUUCCCCUCCUCUUCAUCCUCGCCAAACCCAUCCCGAGCCUUCACACGCCGGCCGCCCUUUCCCAUCCUCCUCUCUUCUGCCCGACACCGCUCGAUUCCUCUAUCCCGUGCCCUAGCCAACUCGACGCCGAUGCUUCUCUCCUCCUCCGCCGAUCUAUGUUCCCCGUCCCCUUUUUGGAUCACUGAUCGAGGUGAGGAGGAGCUCGUCAUCCCUAACGUCGCUGCCGUCUCUCGACCCAAGCAGCGCCACCGCCCCUCUGCCCUGUGCGACUCUGCCCCUGUCGACGCCAUGCCCUAGAUCGCCGGCAUGAGGAGGUGUUCGGGGAUUCGAGGAAGCCACAGGUAUCGGUAGCUACAUCUUUUUCUUGCAGCAAACUCACCGAGCUGUGGAUCAAUUAGGGCUGUGAGAUUGAGGACUUUGAUUCGAGAUGACAUCUCAACGUGGGGUCUAUUUCGGAUACGAUCACCACUUUUUGAGGCGGGUACCUUGACUUAUCUUUUAGAUAUUAUCAUUUGAUAUGCAUAGUAGAUUUUAACAAGUAAUAAUAAUUAUGUGUUUAUCUACAUCGGUAUGUCAUUAUUUGUUUCCUAAGCAUGCUUUGUUUGUUACCUACUUGUUUUGCAUACAUGCCCUAUUUAUUAUUUAUAUUAUAGAGGUAGUGACAUACCAUGCCUUAUGAUAUAUCAGACUAGUUAGAUACCAUACCUGACAGGUGUACCUAGAUCAUAUUAUUGGAUUCAUUUGUAUUUUUGGUACAUAUAUUAUAUGGAGGUGUCAGGAUUUUCAUGCUUAGUGUCAUGCACCAUGUUACAUGAUUGCAUGCUGAGCGAUUGACAUCUCCAUUAUUGUUGAGCACAUCACCAGUUACAUGGAUCUGCACACACAACCACUCAUGGGUUAGUGAUAUAUCAGGCAGGGUGUGUGACAGUUUGCUCUGUCAGUGCUCCGCUGGUCCACUCAUGGGUAGCGUGACGCAGCGUGGUAGCACGUUAGGGAUCCCUUCUUUGGACUGUCUUAAGGAGAUGAGAGCAUUGUAUUCGCCCACUUAUGAUUUGGGGUAGGAGGAUAGGUGUACUCCAACAGCAUCCUAUCUACUUGGUCACUCAUCAGGAGCAAUGACGGCAGAGUGCA